GAUGAACGCUGGCGGCGUGCCUAAUACAUGCAAGUCGAGCGAACAGACGAGGAGCUUGCUCCUCUGACGUUAGCGGCGGACGGGUGAGUAACACGUGGAUAACCUACCUAUAAGACUGGGAUAACUUUGGGAAACCGGAGCUAAUACCGGAUAAUAUAUUGAACCGCAUGGUUCAAUAGUGAAAGACGGUUUUGCUGUCACUUAUAGAUGGAUCCGCGCCGCAUUAGCUAGUUGGUAAGGUAACGGCUUACCAAGGCGACGAUGCGUAGCCGACCUGAGAGGGUGAUCGGCCACACUGGAACUGAGACACGGUCCAGACUCCUACGGGAGGCAGCAGUAGGGAAUCUUCCGCAAUGGGCGAAAGCCUGACGGAGCAACGCCGCGUGAGUGAUGAAGGUCUUCGGAUCGUAAAACUCUGUUAUUAGGGAAGAACAAAUGUGUAAGUAACUAUGCACGUCUUGACGGUACCUAAUCAGAAAGCCACGGCUAACUACGUG
RNAcentral lists this ribosomal RNA (497 nucleotides) under uncultured bacterium. RNAcentral describes it as "partial 16S ribosomal RNA". It matches the Rfam family "Bacterial small subunit ribosomal RNA", at positions 28 to 507 of the family's 1533-position model. The record is from RNAcentral.